Molecule: ribosomal RNA, 496 nt
Filed under: uncultured bacterium
Lineage: Bacteria
Description: partial 16S ribosomal RNA
Rfam family: Bacterial small subunit ribosomal RNA
Source: RNAcentral
GAUGAACGCUAGCGGCAGGCCUAACACAUGCAAGUCGAGGGGUAGAGGUUGCUUGCAACCUUGAGACCGGCGCACGGGUGCGUAACGCGUAUGCAAUCUGCCUUGUACUGAGGGAUAGCCCAGAGAAAUUUGGAUUAAUACCUCAUAGUAUCUUUUCCCGGCAUCGGGAGAUUAUUAAAGUUCCAACGGUACAAGAUGAGCAUGCGUCCCAUUGGCUAGUUGGUAUGGUAACGGCAUACCAAGGCAAUGAUGGGUAGGGGUCCUGAGAGGGAGAGCCCCCACACUGGUACUGAGAGACGGACCAGACUCCUGCGGGAGGCAGCAGUGAGGAAUAUUGGUCAAUAGGCGCAAGCCUGAACCAGCCAUGCCGCGUGCAGGAUGAAGCAUCUAUGGUGUGUAAACUGCUUUUAUACGGGAAGAAACACCGGUUCGUGAACCGGCUUGACGGUACCGUAAGAAUAAGGAUCGGCUAACUCCGUGCCAGCCGCCGCGGUAA